AUCUCACUGGCCUGUGUGGAGCUUGGGAAAGUUGACAGCUUCAUUUGGAACUCCUCUGUAAGAAGAUAGCAAGCAUUGGAGGUCAGUGACUGCAUCAUGUCCUAAACACUUUCCAUGGAGUCAAAUUCCACUCUUAGUUUCUCAGCCAGAGCAUCCAGAACCGGAAUUGGACAGGUGGAGUUACAGGCACUGAGUCAUGCAACGUGGAGGCUGAGGACGGAACUCAGAAACUCUCAAAAAGCUGAGUGCUCUUAACUGCUGAUCUCUCUCCCCCUCCCUGUCUCCUUCCCUCUCACCCCCUCUCUCUACCUCACUCUUCCUCUGUCCUCUCCCACUCUCUGAGACAGGGUCUAACUAUGUAGCCUUAGCAGAACUAGAACUCCCUAUAUGAAUCAGACUGGCCAGGGACUCCCAGAGAUCUACCUGCUUCUUAUGUCCUGAGUGCUGGGCCACCACACUCACAGUUUUUUCAUUACUGCUAUAAAGUCAAAAGUCCCCCUUGUAUACAUUUGUUUGGACUCGUAAGCCCAGGGAUUCCUGCGCAUGUCUGAAGAUUAGACCUGAGGAGUGCUGGCCCUCAGCAAGGGUUUUGUCUAGAGGCUUCUGGGGGUAUAUUGGCUACAAUAAAAAUGCCAACUUUGCUGUUUACCGGGUCCUGUACUUUUCUCUUAAGAUACUGUAAAACUAGUUAUUUAUGUUUUGGUGUGUGUGGUGUAUGUUUAUGCUUACACAUGUUUUUUCAGGUACCUACACACACCAGCUUUUUAUGUGGGUCCUGGGAUUUGAACUCAGGCCCUUAUGCUUGCACAGCAGGUACUCUUAUGUGUUCAGCUGCCUCCCAGCCACAGCUCUUCUCUUGCCCCACGUUUAACUUGAGUUAUACUUGUUCUGUAAACAUUACAUCACAAGACAAACAAUAUUUAGAAGUUGUUUGCUAAAUUUACUUCUAUUUUUAGUACAUUUAUUUUUUGAAAUUAAAAUAUAAUGACAUCAUUUCUACCUUUUCCUUUCUUCCUUCCAACCCUUCCAGUGUACCCCGCCUUGCUAUCGCUCAAGCUCAUGGCCUAUGUCUUUGCAACUGCUGUUAUAUAAACACACAUGUUACCCCCAAAAAUGUGGGUGAACUUCAUCUGAUUGCAGGCCUUGAGAAGAGAUACAGCUUUUCCCAGAGAAAAAACUCUGCAUGGCAACAUCCACUCCUGCCUCAGUUUCCAGCCUGCCCUGUGGAGGUCAGACUUUUCUCAUCUCCCACUAUUGUACAAGCCAGACCCAGAAACUCCACAAGCAAACAUGUAUUUGUGUUUUUUACUAUGUUAUUGUAUUAUUUUAUAAUUAUUGUAUUUCAUAUACACAAGUUAUAGCUGUUGUAUAUUGAGUAAAAGUGUAUUAUAGUACGUACUAUUACAUGUUAUCAUAUGCAUUCUAUAACAAAUUAUAUUACUAUAAGCACAUAUUUAUAAUACAUACAUACAUAAUACAUGCAUAUAUAUAGAGGGGUGUGGUCUAGAUUAUAUUUUCUGGGGAGCCUGAACAGUAGAUUCCUCUGCUGUGUACAUGAGUGCCCCCCCCCACACACACACUAUGUUCACAUAUAAUUUUAAGUAGAAAUUUGUUGUUUCUGUUCCUCCACUAUAGGAGUUCAGGCCUUAGAGCUCACUGUAAAACAAAGGACAGGGGAGGAUACUUACUUGGCUGGAUGAGCUGGAUUUCCUAAUCCUAUGUUGAGAAGAGGACUUCAGGGUAGAUUGGAUGUCUUCCCAGCCCUAGACCAGUGGCUAGUCCUUGAAAGGCUCCCCAGCCAUUGGGUGGAGUGUGCUAGUCUCCGUGCGAUGUUGUUUGGCUUUUCUGGGCACUUUCCCACCCCAAGAUUGGUGGUGGUGGUUUGUUUAAAAUUAGUUUUUGUUUGGCCUGUGGAGAAAGAGCAAAUUGCAGAGUCUAGGUUGGAUUCAGAGAUUUUUGCAUUUGAGGUUCUGGGGGUUGUGUUAUUCAUCUAUUUUGAAACUAGACAGACACGGAUCUAAGACUGCCAUUGACCUAAAAUGUUAUCCUGGCAAGAAGUGGUCAGAAGCCUAAGGGGUGUUGAAGGCCAUCAUUUGAGGAAGAGAG
Molecule: long non-coding RNA, 2106 nt
Organism: Mesocricetus auratus (golden hamster)
Lineage: Eukaryota; Metazoa; Chordata; Mammalia; Rodentia; Cricetidae
Exons: 3
Source: RefSeq, a predicted model, not a curated record